AACGCUAGCUACAGGCUUAACACAUGCAAGUCGAGGGGCAGCGGGAUUGAAGCUUGCUUCAAUUGCCGGCGACCGGCGCACGGGUGAGUAACGCGUAUCCAACCUUCCGUACACUCAGGGAUAGCCUUUCGAAAGAAAGAUUAAUACCUGAUGGUAUGAUGAGAUUGCAUGAUAGCAUCAUUAAAGAUUUAUCGGUGUACGAUGGGGAUGCGUUCCAUUAGGUAGUAGGCGGGGUAACGGCCCACCUAGCCAACGAUGGAUAGGGGUUCUGAGAGGAAGGUCCCCCACAUUGGAACUGAGACACGGUCCAAACUCCUACGGGAGGCAGCAGUGAGGAAUAUUGGUCAAUGGACGAGAGUCUGAACCAGCCAAGUAGCGUGAAGGAUGAAGGUCCUACGGAUUGUAAACUUCUUUUAUAAGGGAAUAAACCCUCCCACGUGUGGGAGCUUGUAUGUACCUUAUGAAUAAGCAUCGGCUAACUCCGUGCCAGCAGCCGCGGUAAUACGGAGGAUGCGAGCGUUAUCCGGAUUUAUUGGGUUUAAAGGGAGCGUAGAUGGAUGUUUAAGUCAGUUGUGAAAGUUUGCGGCUCAACCGUAAAAUUGCAGUUGAUACUGGAUAUCUUGAGUGCAGUUGAGGCAGGCGGAAUUCGUGGUGUAGCGGUGAAAUGCUUAGAUAUCACGAAGAACUCCGAUUG
This 694-nucleotide ribosomal RNA is filed under the name uncultured bacterium. Its description in RNAcentral is "bacterial SSU rRNA". It matches the Rfam family "Bacterial small subunit ribosomal RNA", at positions 32 to 715 of the family's 1533-position model. The record is from RNAcentral.